AACUGAUUGAACGUGCUUGCACGGACUUGACGUUGGUUUACCAGCGAGUGGCGGACGGGUGAGUAACACGUAGGUAACCUGCCCCAAAGCGGGGGAUAACAUUUGGAAACAGAUGCUAAUACCGCAUAACAAUUUGAAUCGCAUGAUUCAAAUUUAAAAGAUGGCUUCGGCUAUCACUUUGGGAUGGACCUGCGGCGCAUUAGCUUGUUGGUAGGGUAACGGCCUACCAAGGCUGUGAUGCGUAGCCGAGUUGAGAGACUGAUCGGCCACAAUGGAACUGAGACACGGUCCAUACUCCUACGGGAGGCAGCAGUAGGGAAUCUUCCACAAUGGGCGCAAGCCUGAUGGAGCAACACCGCGUGAGUGAAGAAGGGUUUCGGCUCGUAAAGCUCUGUUGUUAGAGAAGAACGUGCGUGAGAGCAACUGUUCACGCAGUGACGGUAUCUAACCAGAAAGUCACGGCUAACUACGUGCCAGCAGCCGCGGUAAUACGUAGGUGGCAAGCGUUAUCCGGAUUUAUUGGGCGUAAAGCGAGCGCAGGCGGUUUGAUAAGUCUGAUGUGAAAGCCUUUGGCUUAACCAAAGAAGUGCAUCGGAAACUGUCAGACUUGAGUGCAGAAGAGGACAGUGGAACUCCAUGUGUAGCGGUGGAAUGCGUAGAUAUAUGGAAGAACACCAGUGGCGAAGGCGGCUGUCUG
This 697-nucleotide ribosomal RNA is filed under the name uncultured Bacilli bacterium. Its description in RNAcentral is "bacterial SSU rRNA". It matches the Rfam family "Bacterial small subunit ribosomal RNA", at positions 64 to 731 of the family's 1533-position model. Lineage: Bacteria; Bacillati; Bacillota; Bacilli. The record is from RNAcentral.